UACGGAGGAUGCAAGCGUUAUCCGGAUUCAUUGGGUUUAAAGGGUGCGUAGGCGGGCUAUUAAGUCAGUGGUGAAAUCCUGCAGCUUAACUGCAGAACUGCCGUUGAUACUGAUAGUCUUGAGUUUGGUUAAGGUAGGCGGAAUGUGUAAUGUAGCGGUGAAAUGCUUAGAUAUUACACAGAACACCAAUUGCGUAGGCAGCUUACUGAGACGACACUGACGCUGAGGCACGAAAGCGUGGGGAUCAAACAGGA
Molecule: ribosomal RNA, 254 nt
Filed under: uncultured prokaryote
Description: partial 16S ribosomal RNA
Rfam family: Bacterial small subunit ribosomal RNA
Source: RNAcentral